Molecule: unclassified non-coding RNA, 377 nt
Filed under: uncultured Alphaproteobacteria bacterium
Lineage: Bacteria; Pseudomonadati; Pseudomonadota; Alphaproteobacteria
Description: contains 16S-23S intergenic spacer region
Source: RNAcentral
UCCGGCUUAGAACCGGCAGUUCUGUUAAAGUGCCCAGCCCAACCUGAUGGCAACUAACAGUAAGGGUUGCGCUCGUUGCGGGACUUAACCCAACAUCUCACGACACGAGCUGACGACAGCCAUGCAGCACCUGUGCAAACCCAGCCGAACUGAGCCUAUGAUCUCUCAUAGGUGUAAUUUGCAUGUCAAGAGCGGGUAAGGUUCUGCGCGUUGCUUCGAAUUAAACCACAUAAUCCACCGCUUGUGCGGGUCCCCGUCAAUUCCUUUGAGUUUUAAUCUUGCGACCGUACUCCCCAGGCGGAAUGUUUAUCGCGUUAGCUUCGACAUCGAAUCCUAAGACCCAACACCUAACAUUCAUCGUUUACGGCGUGGACUAC